GUUAGACCAAAAAAAAAUGAAAAAUGAAAAAAAAAUGUUUGGGGUUUUCGGGCUUCCUGAAAGUAAUACCCGGGUAUUAGAUUUUAAGGUUAGGGUAAGGUUUAAGUUUUUUGGCGUUAGGGUUAAAAUCACUGUCCAAAACCUUUGUAGGAACUCUUUUCCUACCUUUUGGAGUUAGUUAGACCAAAAAAAAAUGAAAAAUGAAAAAAAAAUAUUUGGGGUGUUCAGGCUUCCUAAAAGUAAUACCCGGGUAUUAGGUUAUGGGGCUAUGGUAAGGUUUAAAGUUUUUGGCAUUAGGGUUAAAAUCACUGUCCAAAACCUUUGUAGGAACUCUUUCCCAACCUUUUGGAGUUAGUUAGACCAAAAAAAAAUGUAAAAUGAAAAAAAAAUGUUUGGGGUUUUCGGGCUUCCUGAAGGUAAUACCCGGGUAUUAGGUUAUGGGGCUAUGGUAUGGUUUAAGGUUUUUGGCAUUCGGUUUAAAAUCACUGUCCAAA
Molecule: non-coding RNA, 494 nt
Organism: Xyrichtys novacula (pearly razorfish)
Lineage: Eukaryota; Metazoa; Chordata; Actinopteri; Labriformes; Labridae
Source: the annotation of a GenBank genome assembly